GUCUAUGGCCAUACCACCCUAAACAUGCCCCAUCUCAUCUGAUCGUGGAAGCUAAGCAUGGUCAGGCCUGGUUAGUACUUAGAUGGGGAAAGUAAAAUGUACAGUUA
RNAcentral lists this ribosomal RNA (107 nucleotides) under Propithecus coquereli (Coquerel's sifaka). The record is from RNAcentral. Lineage: Eukaryota; Metazoa; Chordata; Mammalia; Primates; Indriidae.